GAAAUGCGAUAAGUAAUGUGAAUUGCAGAAUUCAGUGAAUCAUCGAAUCUUUGAACGCACAUUGCGCCUAUUAGUAUUCUAGUAGGCAUGCCUGUUCGAGCGUCAUUUCAACCCUCAAGCCCUGGUUGCUUGGUGUUGGGAGCUUGCUGUGAAACGCAACUCCUCAAAGCUAGCUGGCAGAGUCGGGAUGCACUCUAAGCGUAGUAAACUUGAUAGUCUCGCUUCUGCAGUUGUCCCGGCCGUCUUGCCUUAAAAGCCCAAACUUUUUUUGUUUUCUAUGGUUGACCUCGGAUCAGGUAGGAAUACCCACUGAACUUAAGC
RNAcentral lists this unclassified non-coding RNA (321 nucleotides) under plant metagenome. Its description in RNAcentral is "partial contains 5.8S ribosomal RNA, internal transcribed spacer 2, and large subunit ribosomal RNA". The stretch from base 1 to 105 matches the Rfam family "5.8S ribosomal RNA", at positions 50 to 154 of the family's 154-position model. The record is from RNAcentral.